GGUUAAGCGACUAAGCGUACACGGUGGAUGCCCUGGCAGUCAGAGGCGAUGAAGGACGUGCUAAUCUGCGAAAAGCGCCGGCGAGGUGAUAUGAACCUUUGACCCGGCGAUGUCCGAAUGGGGAAACCCAGUGCAAUUCGUUGCACUAUCGUUAACUGAAUACAUAGGUUAACGAGGCGAACCGGGGGAACUGAAACAUCUAAGUACCCCGAGGAAAAGAAAUCAACCGAGAUUCCCCCAGUAGCGGCGAGCGAACGGGGAGCAGCCCAGAGUCUGAAUCAGCUUGUGUGUUAGUGGAAGCGUCUGGAAAGUCGCACGGUACAGGGUGACAGUCCCGUACACGAAAAUGCACAGGUUGUGAACUCGAAGAGUAGGGCGGGACACGUGGUAUCCUGUCUGAAUAUGGGGGGACCAUCCUCCAAGGCUAAAUACUCCUGACUGACCGAUAGUGAACCAGUACCGUGAGGGAAAGGCGAAAAGAACCCCGGCGAGGGGAGUGAAAAAGAACCUGAAACCGUGUACGUACAAGCAGUGGGAGCACCYUYGUGGUGUGACUGCGUACCUUUUGUAUAAUGGGUCAGCGACUUAUAUUCUGUAGCAAGGUUAACCGUAUAGGGGAGCCGAAGGGAAACCGAGUCUUAACUGGGCGUUAAGUUGCAGGGUAUAGACCCGAAACCCGGUGAUCUAGCCAUGGGCAGGUUGAAGGUUGGGUAACACUAACUGGAGGACCGAACCGACUAAUGUUGAAAAAUUAGCGGAUGACUUGUGGCUGGGGGUGAAAGGCCAAUCAAACCGGGAGAUAGCUGGUUCUCCCCGAAAGCUAUUUAGGUAGCGCCUCGUGAACUCAUCUUCGGGGGUAGAGCACUGUUUCGGCUAGGGGGCCAUCCCGGCUUACCAACCCGAUGCAAACUACGAAUACCGAAGAAUGUUAUCACGGGAGACACACGGCGGGUGCUAACGUCCGUCGUGAAGAGGGAAACAACCCAGACCGCCAGCUAAGGUCCCAAAGUCAUGGUUAAGUGGGAAACGAUGUGGGAAGGCACAGACAGCCAGGAUGUUGGCUUAGAAGCAGCCAUCAUUUAAAGAAAGCGUAAUAGCUCACUGGUCGAGUCGGCCUGCGCGGAAGAUGUAACGGGGCUAAACCAUGCACCGAAGCUGCGGCAGCGACGCUUAKGCGUUGUUGGGUAGGGGAGCGUUCUGUAAGCCGUUGAAGGUGUGCUGUGAGGCAUGCUGGAGGUAUCAGAAGUGCGAAUGCUGACAUAAGUAACGAUAAAGCGGGUGAAAAGCCCGCUCGCCGGAAGACCAAGGGUUCCUGUCCAACGUUAAUCGGGGCAGGGUGAGUCGACCCCUAAGGCGAGGCCGAAAGGCGUAGUCGAUGGGAAACAGGUUAAUAUUCCUGUACUUGGUGUUACUGCGAAGGGGGGACGGAGAAGGCUAUGUUAGCCGGGCGACGGUUGUCCCGGUUUAAGCAUGUAGGCGGAGGUUCCAGGUAAAUCCGGUACCUUUUAACGCUGAGGUGUGAUGACGAGGCACUACGGUGCUGAAGUAACAAAUGCCCUGCUUCCAGGAAAAGCCUCUAAGCAUCAGGUAACAUCAAAUCGUACCCCAAACCGACACAGGUGGUCAGGUAGAGAAUACCAAGGCGCUUGAGAGAACUCGGGUGAAGGAACUAGGCAAAAUGGUGCCGUAACUUCGGGAGAAGGCACGCUGAUAUGUAGGUGAAGCCCCUGCGGGUGGAGCUGAAAUCAGUCGAAGAUACCAGCUGGCUGCAACUGUUUAUUAAAAACACAGCACUGUGCAAACACGAAAGUGGACGUAUACGGUGUGACGCCUGCCCGGUGCCGGAAGGUUAAUUGAUGGGGUUAGCGGYAACGCGAAGCUCUUGAUCGAAGCCCCGGUAAACGGCGGCCGUAACUAUAACGGUCCUAAGGUAGCGAAAUUCCUUGUCGGGUAAGUUCCGACCUGCACGAAUGGCGUAAUGAUGGCCAGGCUGUCUCCACCCGAGACUCAGUGAAAUUGAACUCGCUGUGAAGAUGCAGUGUACCCGCGGCAAGACGGAAAGACCCCGUGAACCUUUACUAUAGCUUGACACUGAACACUGGUCCUUGAUGUGUAGGAUAGGUGGGAGGCUUUGAAGCGUGGACGCCAGUCUGCGUGGAGCCRWCCUUGAAAUACCACCCUUUAAUGGCUGGUGUUCUAACGUAGACCCGURAUCCGGGUUGCGGACAGUGUCUGGUGGGUAGUUUGACUGGGGCGGUCUCCUCCCAAAGAGUAACGGAGGAGCACGAAGGUUAGCUAAUCCUGGUCGGACAUCAGGAGGUUAGUGCAAUGGCAUAAGCUAGCUUGACUGCGAGAGUGACGGCUCGAGCAGGUGCGAAAGCAGGUCAUAGUGAUCCGGUGGUUCUGAAUGGAAGGGCCAUCGCUCAACGGAUCCGGAGUGGACGCAUCACUGGUGUUCGGGUUGUCAUGCCAAUGGCACUGCCCGGUAGCUAAAUGCGGAAAAGAUAAGUGCUGAAAGCAUCUAAGCACGAAACUUGCCCCGAGAUGAGUUCUCCCUGACCCUUUAAGGGUCCUGAAGGAACGUUGAAGACUACGACGUUGAUAGGUCGGGUGUGUAAGCGCAGCGAUGCGUUGAGCUAACCGAUACUAAUGAACCGUGAGGCUUAACCUU
Molecule: ribosomal RNA, 2671 nt
Filed under: Enterobacter asburiae
Lineage: Bacteria; Pseudomonadati; Pseudomonadota; Gammaproteobacteria; Enterobacterales; Enterobacteriaceae
Description: 23S ribosomal RNA
Source: RNAcentral